CAACACCUAAAUCAAAGAACUUCAAAUUCCAAUACAAAAUUCAUCUUUCAAAAAUCUCCUCUUCGCAAAACCCUUACACUUCUUCUCCCGCUCUCUCUCUCUCCUCCAUUCUUUCCUCCUCCCAAAUGUUCGAUCCCAGAAAACUCUCAACCAAAUCUCACCCCCAAAUUCCAUCAAUCUAAAACCCUACUUUCCAAAAAUUUCCGAAUUUGCAAGCAUCAAUCAUGCCGUCAUUCCUCUCCGACGACGAAUUCGAGCGAUUCAAAGCCUCCGGCGACGCUUCUGCGGUGGCGGAGAAGGCGGAUUCCUACAUUCGCGACCUCUACGCGAACCUCGAGACCGUCAAAGCCGAAGCCGAUGCCGCCUCCAUUACUGACGAGCAGACUUGCUCGCUCCUUGAGCACAAAUACCUUUCACUGUCGUCCGAGUUCUCUGCUCUCGAAACUCGGUAUUCGGAGCUUGAUUCUAAUUUGCAGAAUCGUGUUUCGGAGCUUGCUCAAGUUCAGUCUGAUAAACACCAGCUUCAUCUUAAAUUCAUCGAAAAAGAUGGAGAGAUUGAAAGGCUAUCAAUAGAGGUGAAGGAGCUGCAAAAUUCGAAGAGGCAAGUAGUGGAAUUAGUAGGGGUGAAGGAUGAAGAGAUCAGUGAGAAAAAGGCUACUAUCAAGAGUUAUCAUGACAAGAUCACAAGCUUGACAGAACGUUCUUCUCAGAGGGAAGCUAAGUUGAGUGAGCUUGAGGCCGAGUUGAUGCGCUGUAGGGCUAACUGUGACAAACUAUCGCGAGAGAAGGAGCUUAUUGAAAAGCACAACACUUGGCUUAAUGAGGAAUUGACAGCAAAAGUUGAUAGUUUGCUGGAGCAGCGUAGGAAAUGUGCAGACAUGGAGGCAGAUUAUUCGAUGAAAUUAGCUGAUAUGGAAAAGCAGUACAACGAAUGCUCUAGCUCUUUGAGUAGGCAUAAGGAGAUGGUCAGAGAGCUUGAAUCAAAGGUAGAAAAUUUGCAUCGAGAAUUAUGUUCAGCCCGAGAUGAUGCUUCUGCUUCCGAGCAACAAUAUGCAGCAGAAAUUUCAACAGUUUCCAAACUUGUUGAUCUGUACAAGGAAAGUUCUGAGGAGUGGUCCAAAAAGGCUGGAGAGUUGGAGGGCGUGAUAAAGGCUUUGGAAACACAUUUAAGUCAAGUUGAAAGUGAUUACAAAGACAAGCUUGAGAAGGAAACUGCUGCUAGGAAGGAGGUGGAAAAGGUGUCUGCGGAGUUGAAGGAGAAACUUGAAAAAUGUGAAGCCGAACUUGAGUCAAGUAGAAGAGAUAACGAGCUGGAUAUUCUCCCUUUGAGUAGCUUUACCACCGAACGCUUGACAUAUCCUUCCAACACAAAUGAUUUUACUGGAGAUAAUCUAGCAAUUGUACCUCAUGUCCCAGCAGGUGUCUCAGGAACAGCUCUAGCAGCGUCCCUACUCCGGGAAGGUUGGAGUUUAGCUAAGAUGUACACUAAAUAUCAGGAAGCUGCAGAUGCAUUGCGACAUGAGCAGUUAGGCAGAAAGCAAACUCAAGCUAUUUUGGAGCGGGUUCUUCUUGAAAUAGAGGAGAAGGCUUCUGUCAUCUUGGAUGAACGAGCAGAACAUGAUAGGAUGGCUGAAGCUUAUGCUGUGAUGAAUCAUAAGCUGCAACAAUCUCUUUCAGAGCAAUCCAAUUUGGAUAAAGUUAUCCGUGAAUUGAAGGCAGAAGUAAAAAAGCAUGAGCGUGAGUACAAAUAUGCACAGAAGGAGAUUAGGGAUCUUCAGACUCAGGUUACCAUCCUUUUAAAAGAAUGCCGUGAUGUACAACUGCGUUGUGGACUUGAUAGCCAUGAGUACCUGAAUGAUGAUAUUGCCGGUCCUUUGUCUGACAUUGACGAUGAAUCUGGCGCUCAGAAGGUUAUUUCUGAGCACUUGCUGUCUAUUAAGGAUAUUAAGGGCUUGGUUGAACAAAAUGCCAAGCUUCGCAGCUUAGUACGAAGUCUAUCUGAUGAUAUUGAGAAUAAAGAAAUGCAGCUAAAGGAACAAUAUGAGGAGCAGCUCCAGAAGCACAAGGAGGAGGCAGCUUCUAAAGUUGCUGCAGUUCUGGAAAGAGCUGAAGAGCAAAGACAAAUGAUUGACUCACUUCACUCAUCUGUGGCUAUGUACAGGAGAUUGUAUGAGGAGGAGUAUAGACUCCGCUCUUCUUCCCAACAUGUAUCUAUUGAACCACCUCCUUCAGAUGGUAGGAAGGACUUCAUGCUGCUUCUAGAAGGCUCCCAGGAAGCCACAAAGAAGGUUCAAGAGCAGGCCAGUGAACGUCUGCGAUGCCUUGAAGAUGAAUUAGCUAAUCGGAAGGCUGAAAUCAUAACCUUGCGUUCUGAGAGAGAUAAGUUUGCCUUAGGAGAAAAUUUUGCCCAAGAGAAACUUGAGAGGUUUAUGAAAGAAUUUGAUAAUCAAAGGCAGGAAAUGAAUGGAGUUUUAUCACGGAAUGUCGAGUUCUCUCAGCUCAUAGUUGACUACCAAAAAAAGCUGCGGGAAGCUGCUGAAUCUGUGAACACAGCUGAGGAGCUCUCACGGAAAUUGAACAUGGAACUUUCUGUUCUAAAGCAUGAAAAGGAACUGCUUUUGAACUCUGAAAAAAGAGCUCAGGAUGAAGUUCAAGAUUUGUCUAAGAGGGUGUAUAGACUCCAAGCUACUUUGGAUACCAUACAAAGUACAGAGCAAGCUCAUGAGGAAGCCAGAGUUGAAGAGAGGCGGAAGCAGGAAGAAUACAUAAAAAAGAUUGAAAGAGAAUGGGCUGAGGCCAAGAAGGAGCUUCAGGAGGAAAAGAUCAAAGUCCAGACUCUUUCACUGGAUCAUGAUCACACUAUUAAAGAUGGCAGGAGACAAAUUGAAAAUUUGGGUAAAGAAUUAGCCGCAGCAUUGCAAGCUGUUACAGCUGCUGAGGCCAGGGCUGCUGUGGCUGAGGCACGAUGUGCUGAUCUUGAAAGAAAAUUGAAUUCCUCUGAAUAUAAGGUUGCUGAGCAAGACGGUGGGUUGAAACCUUCGUCAUCUUCAGCAACUGAGAGCUUAGGGGAUGUAGGGUUCAGGGAAGAAAUUGAACGGUUAAAAGCAGAAGUUCAAGCCAGCAAAGACCACAUGCUUCAGUAUAAGAGCAUUGCAGAAGUGAAUGAUGCUGCAUUGAAACAGAUGGAAGGUGCUCAUGAUUACUUCAGGAUUGAGACUGAACAAAUGAAGAAGACUCUUGAAGCAGAAAUUCAGUCACUCAGAGAUCGGGUUCAUGAACUUGAAAAUGAAUCUAGUUUGAAGUCUGAAGAAGUGGCCUCUGUAGCUGCUCAGAAAGAUGAAGCUCUUGCAUCUGCUUUUGCUGAAAUUAACUGCUUGAAGGAAGAAACUUUAAAUAAAAUUUCUCAGCUUGAGGCUCUGGAAGUCCAUGUUACUGGUUUGAAAAAUGAUCUGGAGAGGGAGCAUCAACGAGCACUUGCAGCUCAAGCUAAUUAUGAAAGACAGGUUAUGUUACAAUCUGAAACUAUACAGGAGCUGACAAAGACUUCGCAAGCUUUGGCUUCACUUCAGGAGGAAGCAUCCGAACUUCGGAAAACUGUUGCUGCUUACAAAUCUGAGAAUGACGAGCUCAAGUCAAAGUGGGAUGUGGAGAAGUCAGAGAUGGAGAAGUCAAGGAGUGAAGUUGCAAAGAAAUAUGAUGAGCUUAAUGAUCAAAAUAAAGUCCUGCACUGUCAACUUGAGGCAAUGCACAUGAAAUUAGCUGGGAAAGACGAUGCCGGUGGAGUAACUUCUGCAGGUGUUGGUGCCGAUUCACAAAGUGAUGAUGGCUUGCACAGCGUAGUUAGCUAUCUCCGGCGUUCAAAGGAGAUAGCAGAAACUGAGAUUUCAUUGUUAAAACAGGAGAAAAUGCGUCUUCAGUCUCAACUUGAAAGAGCUCUAAAGGCAGCUGAGGCAGCAGAAGCGUCACGUAGUGCAGAGCGUGCAAGUUCAAGAAAUUUGAUGUUCUCAGAGGAUGAGUUCAAGGCCUUGAAACUUCAGGUAAGUGAAAUGAAUUUGCUGCGGGAGAGCAAUAUGCAACUUAGAGAGGAGAACAGGUAUAACUUUGAGGAGUGUCAGAAGUUGCGGGAAGUUGCGCAAAAUGCUAAAGCUGAGGCUGAUAAUAUACAAAACCUUCUUAGAGAGAAAGAACUUGAAGCUGAAGCCCUCAAGAAAGACAAUGAACUGCAGAAGAAAGAGAAAGAGCUUUUGGAAAGCAGGAUUUCCGAUAUGCUUGAAAAAUCCAAAAGCUUUGAUUUAGAGGACUAUAAUCGACUGAGAAGUGAGGUUGAUCAAUUGCAGGCCAGUCUGAGGGAAAAGGAUGCUAUGAUAGAAGAAACGAGAAAACUUGUUUCUCAGAAAGAAGAAAUAAUAACAAAAUUAGAGCAAGACCUUUCACGAAUCAAACUGGACCUAACUGAAAAGGAGAACCGCCUUUCUCAAGCAGAGGCUAGUUUGAAAUCAGAUGCGGAUCAUAAGAAGAAGGCUUUUCUUCCUUAUAAACGAAGGAUUGAUAUGCUUUUGAAGGAGAAGGAAGCACUUUCCAAAGAGAAGGAGGCACUUUCUAAAGAGAAGGAAACACUCUCCAAAGAGAAGGAAGCACUUUUCAGAGAGAAGGAAUCACUUUUGACAGAGAGGGAAGCACUUUUAAAAGAAAGAGAAUCAUGGGCAAAAGAAAAGGAACUGCUGAACAAGGAGAAGGAUGAAGCUAGCAAAGAGAAGCAAGCUAUCUCCAAACAGUUGGAGGAUCUUCGUCAGGAGAAGAAAUCCACAGGAGACACCCCUGCUGACCCAGCAGCGAGAGAAAAGGAUGCCAGGAUACAGAUCUUGGAGAAUACUGUGGGUAGACUGAGAGAAGAUACCAAGAAAGAAAAAGGUAGGCGUAUGAACUAUGAGAAAGUUAUUACUACAAAAGCUGGUAUUGUUAAACAGGAAAAAGAGAAGUUUGAAAAUGAAUGGGGCAAGCAUCAGGAGGCACUGAAGAAGAUUUCAGAUGAGCUUGAAAAGCUCAAAAAUGCGAAGGACAGCCUUCCUGAGGGUACUUCAGUGGUACAGCUUUUAUCUGGAACUACCUUGGAUGAUAUGGCCUCUGCAUAUGUGUUGGCUGUUGAAAACUUUGAAAGGGAAGCCAAUUCAGUCCUCAAUGACAUACGGAACCAGGCUGUUGUUAGUAACUCUUCAGCCACAGAUACAGUUCCAUCUGUAGCUGGUAGCUCUCAGGCAGUGCCUGCUGAAGGUUCGAGUACGAUUUCAUCCAUGGUUUCUGCAACUUGCCCACCCACAAAAGUAACUGAAGAAAGAGAGAAGAGAGUUAUGAAAACCAUGGUUGAAACACGAAAAACUGGGAGGAAGUUGGUUAGACCUCGACUUCUUAAAUCUGAAGAUGCCCAGCGUGAUGUUGAAAUGUCAGAGUUGGAUGGCAAGAAUAUGGGGAGGCCUAGCUUGGUAGCGCAGCCCUCUGUCUCUUUGUCCGGUGAACCUCUUGUUCGGAAACGCCCUGCUUCUCCAUCUCCUUCUGAGCUGGAAGAGCAAUCAUCUUUGCCUGGAGAUUCUAGUUCUGAUUUGCCUGUGCCUGCUCUUAAAAAGUCCAAGGGCUUAGAACCUGUUCAAGAGGAUGUUCAAGCAACCUCUGCUGCUCUUGAUAAUGUUGAAGUUGUUCCAACAGUUGAAGAAUUACUUGAUGCAGCUGCUUUCUUGCCUCAAGAUGCUAUCGAGGAAGCUUCUGAUUUUGGCAAGGAUGAUUUUGAACCAUUUCAAGGACUUGGAAAGGAGCCUGGAGAAUCUAAUCAUCCAGAUGAGGAAAAGUUAGCAGAUGCACAGAAUGAUUGUGAAAUCGUUGAUGAAGAGCAUGCUGAGAAGCCAAGUGAGGCUGAUCUAAUGUUAGAUGAAUCAUCAAAUUUGCAGGCUGACCAGGAUUUUAAUCAGCAGAUGGCUGAUGUUGCUGACAGAGAAGAAGGAGAAAUGCUCCCAGAAGGUUCUGACCUUGAUGGCGGAGAUGACACAGCUACUGUGGAAAUUCAAGAUGCAUCUGAAGUUCAGCCUGAUCAUUCAACUGCAGCUUCUAUCCCAUCUCCAGCUCCAAAUGAUGAUGAUCCUGUAGCUGCUGUCAAUGCAGAAAUCAAUGAAAUAAAUUCUCCUGAGAUUUCAAAUGCUAAUGAUCAGACUGAAGAAGGGGAACUAGCUGAAGAUGUUGCUGACGAUUCAAAUAAAUCUACUGAAGGCAACGAUCAAAUUGCUGGGGAUGCUGAACUUACCAGUGAAACUAGUUUAGGUGUUGCUGAAGGUAAUCUGAGUUCUGUGGAAUCUUCUAUUUCCAGAGAAGAUAGUCCCAAUGUGAUGGCUAGUCAGGAAGCAACUCAGCCUUCACAUAUGAGAGCAAGCUCAACAACUAUAAUGAUAUCUGAAAGAGCUAAGGAGCGGGCUGCAGCUAGGCUUGGACGUUCCCCUGCACCAGAUUCCACUCCUUCUUCUGCUGCGAGGAGAGGGCGAGUGCCAAUGACACGAAGUCGAGGUGCCCGAGGUAGCCGUGGUGGGCGUAGGCCAAGUUCUGGUGAUCAGAGCUAAAACUAUAAGCUGGCUUAUUUCUUGCCACCCCAACUGUGCAAGUUUGAGUUGAUGCCGAUCAAAGAGUGCAAGAGAAGGAGAGCUGUAAAGGAGAUUCAUUUAGUUUGAAGGAAGAAAGAUGUACAAAGAUAUUCAAGCAAGAUCCAUGGCUUAUGAACAGAUUCGUGGAUUUACUUAUGUGUAGGUGUAUUGAGUAGGCAACAAGGACUUGUCGCAGCUUACAACCUACAAGAACAUCAAGCACCAUUUUUCUUAGUCUUUCUCUACUUUGCUCGACUUUUGUUUAGGGUUCUAAGAAUGCUUUUUGAAUGGCAAGUCAAACUUAGCACAAGGAGUUCAUAAAACUUGCAUUUGCACAUUUUGUUGCUCUGUAACAUAUCUAGCCAAAUAUUAUGUUGCAUGGUACUGAUUAUUUUUAAGAGAAAUGGGGAAGGGUAUAAUUUAUGGCUUUUUGCAUAGGUGAUUAAUUUCAGGGCACGAUAGACUAGAAUUGUGUAAGUAUCAAUAUAAUUUUGGUAGAUUUUCUGCUAUUAUGUUGAAGUCAUGGUAUUUUAAAAAAUUGAUUAGCUUUAAAAUUAAAA
Chenopodium quinoa (quinoa) is the source of this 7180-nucleotide RNA transcript. It is a transcript of the gene named nuclear-pore anchor-like, with no coding region annotated. The record is from RefSeq and is a predicted model, not a curated record. The transcript has 6 exons. NCBI's taxonomy places the organism in Eukaryota, Viridiplantae, Streptophyta, Magnoliopsida, Caryophyllales, Amaranthaceae.